This 326-nucleotide ribosomal RNA is filed under the name uncultured eukaryote. RNAcentral's name for it is "partial 18S ribosomal RNA". It matches the Rfam family "Eukaryotic small subunit ribosomal RNA", at positions 1470 to 1796 of the family's 1831-position model. The record is from RNAcentral.
CCCUUAGAUGUUCUGGGCCGCACGCGCGCUACACUGAUGCAUUCAACGAGUUCCUACCUUGGCCGAGAGGCCUGGGCAAUCUUUUGAACUUGCAUCGUGAUAGGGAUAGAUUAUUGCAAUUAUUAAUCUUGAACGAGGAAUUCCUAGUAAACGCAGAUCAUCAAUCUGCAUUGAUUACGUCCCUGCCCUUUGUACACACCGCCCGCCGCACCUACCGAUUGAAUGGUCCGGUGAAGCCUCGGGAUUGUGGUUAGUUUCCUUCAUUGGAAGUUAGCCGCGAGAACUUGUCUAAACCUUAUCAUUUAGAGGAAGGUGAAGUCGUAACA